UUUGACUUUUGAGUUCAUAAUACUGGUAAACCAUGGCAGUAUUUUAGCAAAAGGUAGUGCAACACUGCAACCUCUAUAAUUAUUAUUUAGGUAUUUUCAGGAUGGAAUUUGAAUCUGUUGGAGCAAGUCUAUCACAGAGAUUUUAUGAACCAUACAUGCAAUUUGUACAUAAUCAUAUAUUUGCCCAUUAUAUUUAUAAACUGACAGUUAAUAAUUAAUCUUUCACAGACUAAUAAAAUCAUCUGGGGCCGGUAGUUCAAAGGCUUACACGGGCUUCGAACAACCGGGCCCAGAUGAUUUUAUUAGUAUAUGUGAAAGAGUAAUGGUAUUAACUGUCAGUUUAUAAAUAUAAUGGGCAAAUUAGAGAGAGUAUAUAAAAUACUAAAGUAGGCUCAUUGCCAAUUGAUGGAUUAGAUUAACAUAAUUAAUAAACUAUAGAUGGUUUUGUUGCAUCUCACUCGAUGGAAAUUUUAAUGUUGGGUUUUGUUGAUGGAUAAAUCGAGUACUUAAUAAUUUGAAUUAAAAUAUG
Molecule: non-coding RNA, 529 nt
Organism: Paramuricea clavata
Lineage: Eukaryota; Metazoa; Cnidaria; Anthozoa; Malacalcyonacea; Plexauridae
Source: the annotation of a GenBank genome assembly